CGAACGGUAACGCGGGGGCAACCCUGGCGACGAGUGGCGGACGGGUGAGGAAUGCUUGGGAAUCUGCCUGUUAGUGGGGGACAACCCGGGGAAACUCGGGCUAAUACCGCAUACGCUCUACGGAGGAAAGCGGGGGCUCUUCGGACCUCGCGCUAUGAGAUGAGCCUGCGUUAGAUUAGCUAGUUGGUAGGGUAAAGGCCUACCAAGGCGACGAUCUAUAGCAGGUCUGAGAGGAUGAUCAGCCACACUGGGACUGAGACACGGCCCAGACUCCUACGGGAGGCAGCAGUGGGGAAUAUUGCGCAAUGGGGGCAACCCUGACGCAGCCAUGCCGCGUGUGUGAAGAAGGCCUUCGGGUUGUAAAGCACUUUAAGUGGGGAGAAAAGGGUAGCUGUUAAUAGCGGUUACCUGUGAUGUUACCCACAGAAUAAGCACCGGCUAACCCCGUGCCAGCAGCCGCGGUAAUACGGAGGGUGCGAGCGUUAAUCGGAAUUACUGGGCGUAAAGCGCGCGUAGGCGGUUUGUUAAGUCAGCUGUGAA
Molecule: ribosomal RNA, 540 nt
Filed under: uncultured Gammaproteobacteria bacterium
Lineage: Bacteria; Pseudomonadati; Pseudomonadota; Gammaproteobacteria
Description: bacterial SSU rRNA
Rfam family: Bacterial small subunit ribosomal RNA
Source: RNAcentral